UACGUAGGGUGCGAGCGUUAGUCGGAAUUACUGGGCGUAAAGCGUGCGCAGGCGGUUCUGAAAGUCAGCUGUGAAAGCCCCGGGCUUAACCUGGGAAUUGCGGUUGAAACUACAGGGCUAGAAUCUGGCAGAGGGGGGUGGAAUUCCACGUGUAGCAGUGAAAUGCGUAGAGAUGUGGAGGAACACCGAUGGCGAAGGCAGCCCCCUGGGCUGAGAUUGACGCUCAGGCACGGAAGCGUGGGGAGCAAACAGG
Molecule: ribosomal RNA, 253 nt
Filed under: uncultured bacterium
Lineage: Bacteria
Description: partial 16S ribosomal RNA
Rfam family: Bacterial small subunit ribosomal RNA
Source: RNAcentral